This 253-nucleotide ribosomal RNA is filed under the name uncultured bacterium. RNAcentral describes it as "partial 16S ribosomal RNA". It matches the Rfam family "Bacterial small subunit ribosomal RNA", at positions 524 to 776 of the family's 1533-position model. The record is from RNAcentral.
UACGUAGGGUGCGAGCGUUGUCCGGAACUAUUGGGCGUAAAGAGCUUGUAGGCGGUCUGUCGCGUCUGCUGUGAAAAUCCGGGGCUCAACCCCGGACUUGCAGUGGGUACGGGCAGACUAGAGUGUGGUAGGGGAGACUGGAAUUCCUGGUGUAGCGGUGAAAUGCGCAGAUAUCAGGAGGAACACCGAUGGCGAAGGCAGGUCUCUGGGCCGAUACUGACGCUGAGGAGCGAAAGCGUGGGGAGCGAACAGG